RNAcentral lists this ribosomal RNA (429 nucleotides) under Chloroflexota bacterium. RNAcentral's name for it is "Chloroflexi bacterium partial 16S ribosomal RNA". It matches the Rfam family "Bacterial small subunit ribosomal RNA", at positions 355 to 776 of the family's 1533-position model. The record is from RNAcentral. Lineage: Bacteria; Bacillati; Chloroflexota.
UGGGGAAUAUUGCACAAUGGGCGCAAGCCUGAUGCAGCCAUGCCGCGUGUAUGAAGAAGGCCUUCGGGUUGUAAAGUACUUUCAGUCGGGAGGAAGGUGGUAAGGUUAAUAACCUUAUCAAUUGACGUUACCGACAGAAGAAGCACCGGCUAACUCCGUGCCAGCAGCCGCGGUAAUACGGAGGGUGCAAGCGUUAAUCGGAAUUACUGGGCGUAAAGCGCACGCAGGCGGUUGAUUGAGUCAGAUGUGAAAUCCCCGGGCUUAACCCGGGAAUUGCAUCUGAUACUGGUCAGCUAGAGUCUUGUAGAGGGGGGUAGAAUUCCAUGUGUAGCGGUGAAAUGCGUAGAGAUGUGGAGGAAUACCGGUGGCGAAGGCGGCCCCCUGGACAAAGUCUGACGCUCAGGUGCGAAAGCGUGGGGAGCAAACAGG